UGUUACCCCCACCAUACAUUCUCUUUAUUUAAAGGGUACGCUAUUAUAUUUCAAUAGUAUUAUUAUAUUAAGGUUGUAUAAUUGAUAUUUUUGUAAAGAAAACCAUAUAUAUUAUUUUUGUUAAUGGAAGGAUUCAUUUAAGUUCUGAAAAUUAUGCAUGUAUAGAUUAAGAAGGACUGUAUAAGUGUAAUAUAUGUGAUCUGAGUAGACUUUAAAAUUCAAAGUAUAUACAGUGCUAAAUCCUGAAAACAUAGCUAUAAUCAUAGAGAGAGAGAUCGAGAUCAGAGAGGAGUGCCAUACAGCAGCCUGAAAGAGUAUUUGAUUAUCGUGAAAUAUCUGAGGUAAGAAAGAACAUUCCACUAUAAUAAUAUAAUUAAUAAAGUCAUGAACUACUGUACAAUUGAUUUACAGAAGAAAAGAAAGUAACUAUUUGAGAUUAAACUGUAAAUUAGAGAUAAAGAGUAUAUCUUCACAGCUCGAGGCUGGCACAUGGCACAUGGCUCUUGAAUAACAUCCGAUGUGUCUCUCUUGUUUAUAAGAAUUUAAAACCCAUUCAAAGAGAGUGUUUUUUUUUGUUUUUGUUUUUUGUUUUGUUUUAUUUUUUUAUGGUUUGUUUGGUUCUUCUGAAGUUGUGAUUUAUGCGUCCCUGGGGCUGUGAACAAGAAUGAAAGAGCCCAGGACAUUGAUGAAGACAAGGAAAGAAGACACCUGAGAAGAACCAGAAGAAUAAAAGUGACAGGUUGGAAUACAACCAUUUGGGACAUUUAUUUUUGUAGAUGAAAGUUUAUUUUACUGUAGAAAUGUAAUGAUCUUCAACUCAAUAUAUCAACAACAAAUGUAAACUUA
Long non-coding RNA from Penaeus indicus, 846 nucleotides. RefSeq lists it as uncharacterized. The transcript is spliced from 2 exons. The record is from RefSeq and is a predicted model, not a curated record. Lineage: Eukaryota; Metazoa; Arthropoda; Malacostraca; Decapoda; Penaeidae.